AUUGAACGCUGGCGGCAUGCUUUACACAUGCAAGUCGAACGGCAGCGCGGGCUUCGGCCUGGCGGCGAGUGGCGAACGGGUGAGUAAUACAUCGGAACGUGCCCAGUAGUGGGGGAUAGCUCGGCGAAAGCCGGAUUAAUACCGCAUACGACCUGAGGGUGAAAGCGGGGGAUCUUCGGACCUCGCGCUAUUGGAGCGGCCGAUGGCAGAUUAGCUAGUUGGUGGGGUAAAGGCCUACCAAGGCGACGAUCUGUAGCUGGUCUGAGAGGACGACCAGCCACACUGGGACUGAGCCACGGCCCAGACUCCUACGGGAGGCAGCAGUGGGGAAUUUUGGACAAUGGGCGAAAGCCUGAUCCAGCAAUGCCGCGUGUGUGAUGAAGGCCUUCGGGUUGUAAAGCACUUUUGGCAGGAACGAAAAGGACUGUGCCAAUACCACGGUUCGAUGACGGUACCCGCAGAAUAAGCACCGGCUAACUACGUG
This 484-nucleotide ribosomal RNA is filed under the name uncultured bacterium. Its description in RNAcentral is "partial 16S ribosomal RNA". It matches the Rfam family "Bacterial small subunit ribosomal RNA", at positions 29 to 507 of the family's 1533-position model. The record is from RNAcentral.